GAACGUCCUGGUCUUUUUCGGAAGGCGAGGGAGUGGCGGACGGGUGAGGAACACAUGGGUGACCUACCCUGUCGUGAGGGAUACCGGCGAGAAAUCGCCGACAAUACCGCAUAGGUUUGGCAACAAACAAAGCUAAGCAAUUAGCGCCCCAAGAUGAGCCUGCGCCCGAUUAGCUAGGUUGGUGGGGUAAAGGCCUACCAAGGCGACAAUCGGUAGCUGGUCUGAGAGGACGAUCAGCCACACUGGGAUUGAGAACGGCCCAGACUCCUACGGGGGGCAGCAGUGAGGAAUUUUCGUCAAUGGGGGCAACCCUGAACGAGCAACGCCGCGUGCAGGAAGAAGGUUUUCGGAUCGUAAACUGCUUUUCCUGGGGAAGAGAAUGGACGGUACCCAGGGAAUAAGCCCCGGCUAACUACGUG
Molecule: ribosomal RNA, 419 nt
Filed under: uncultured bacterium
Lineage: Bacteria
Description: bacterial SSU rRNA
Rfam family: Bacterial small subunit ribosomal RNA
Source: RNAcentral